CCUACGGGAGGCUGCAGUGGGGAAUAUUGGGCAAUGGGCGCAAGCCUGACCCAGCAACGCCGCGUGAAGGAAGAAGGCUUUCGGGUUGUAAACUUCUUUUCUCAGGGACGAAGCAAGUGACGGUACCUGAGGAAUAAGCCACGUCUAACUACGUGCCAGCAGCCGCGGUAAUACGUAGGUGGCAAGCGUUAUCCGGAUUUACUGGGUGUAAAGGGAGUGUAGGCGGGAAAGCAAGUCAGAUGUGAAAACCAUGGGCUCAACCUGUGGCCUGCAUUUGAAACUGUUUUUCUUGAGUACUGGAGAGGCAGACGGAAUUCCUAGUGUAGCGGUGAAAUGCGUAGAUAUUAGGAGGAACACCAGUGGCGAAGGCGGUCUGCUGGACAGCAACUGACGCUGAGGCGCGAAAGCGUGGGGAGCAAACAGGAUUAGAUACCCCAGUAGUC
RNAcentral lists this ribosomal RNA (443 nucleotides) under uncultured bacterium. RNAcentral's name for it is "partial 16S ribosomal RNA". It matches the Rfam family "Bacterial small subunit ribosomal RNA", at positions 338 to 795 of the family's 1533-position model. The record is from RNAcentral.